This 665-nucleotide ribosomal RNA is filed under the name uncultured archaeon. Its description in RNAcentral is "bacterial SSU rRNA". It matches the Rfam family "Archaeal small subunit ribosomal RNA", at positions 156 to 829 of the family's 1478-position model. The record is from RNAcentral.
GUAAGAGGUACUGGAAUGUCUUUUUACUAAAAGGUAACGUCUGAGGAUGAGUUGGCGGCUGAUUAGGUUGUUGGUAGUGUAAAGGACUACCAAGCCGAUGAUCAGUACGGGCCGUGGGAGCGGUAGCCCGGAGAAGGGUACUUAGACACUGACCCUAGCCCUACGGGGUGCAGCAGGCGCGAAACCUUUACAAUGUACGCAAGUGCGAUAAGGGUAUUCCCAGUGCUCAUGCAUUGCAUGGGCUUUUGCUAAGUGUAAACAGCUUAGCGAAUAAGUGGUGGGUAAGACGGGUGCCAGCCGCCGCGGUAACACCUGCGCCACGAGUGGCAAUCGUAUUUAUUUGGCCUAAAGCGUUCGUAGCCGGAUUGGCAAGUCUCAGGUGAAAUCGUUGCGCUAAACAAAACGACGUGCUUGAGAUACUAUCAGUCUAGGGACCGGGAGGCGUUAAGGGUAUUUCCAAGGGAGCGGUAAAAUGCUAUAAUCUUGGGAGGACCACCUGUGGCGAAGGCGCUUAACGAGAACGGGUCCGACGGUGAGGAACGAAAGCUAGGGGAGCAAAACGGAUUAGAUACCCGAGUAGUCCUAGCUGUAAACGCUGUGAACUAGAUGUUGCACAUCCUAUGGGGAUGUGCAGUGUCGGAGCGAAGGUAUUAAGUUCACCGCCU